CCCUCUUCUCUCCCUCGUCCGCAGGCCCCUCCUAACUCCCAAUCGCCGCCACCUACUACCUCGCCUCCCUCCUCCCACAACUCUCCGUCAGCGAGCAGUAGAGGAGCCCGCCCCCGCUGCCGGCCGCCUACACGCCGGUGUGCCCUUCCUCACCCCAGCGGCGGCGCUCGGAUCUCGCCCCGCCCUGCCGCGGCAGAAGACCAAGCCGGCGAAUUCGCUCCUCCGCCCGAUUCACCUCCACCCAGGCCGCCUCUCGCCUUCACCCGCCCUCGACGCGCAGGGAUUCCCGCAUUCGUUCAGAUGGACGCGGAGGACGCACUGGGCUUCUGGGAGGACGGCGCCAUCCGCUUUAUCUUCGGCGAGGAUGUGGACGCCAGAGUAGAUACGACGGCGGCACCGGUGCGAGUGCCUUCGACAGGUCGCUCAUGGAGCUCCGCGUCUUCUAGGAGGUCUUCUCCAGGGUGUCGGGCAGAAGGAGGGCGAUGUCUGAUUCUGUAGGUACAUGCUUGUUCUUAUCUGCAGUUUUAUUGCAUGUAUUGAGAAAAAGUGCCAUGGCUGCCACCUCCCAUGUCCUCCGUCCGCCUCAUCAUCCCCGGUAUGAUUGCAUAGUGGGCUACUUGGUGCUUCCAAUAACAAUCAGCAUGGCAUGAUACAUAGUUUCCAUCAGGAGGGCCGACGCCAAGAUGAAUAAUAACUUCAAUAGUUUAAAUGUUCUCUUUGUGUGAGCUGGAUUGUACUAUUUCCUAACUUUGUUGAGUGAUAUUUUGUCAACCUAUAUUGUAAAAUUAUCAUUUCCUGAUAAUUUUGUAAACUUCUAUAUUGUAAAUACCUGUGGAUGAUUGCAUGUUGAUUCAUAUAUGUAUGUAUGAAACUUUGGAAAUACUUUGUCU
This is a long non-coding RNA of Triticum urartu, 890 nucleotides long. RefSeq lists it as uncharacterized. The record is from RefSeq and is a predicted model, not a curated record. NCBI's taxonomy places the organism in Eukaryota, Viridiplantae, Streptophyta, Magnoliopsida, Poales, Poaceae.